UACGUAGGGUGCGAGCGUUGUCCGGAAUUACUGGGCGUAAAGAGCUCGUAGGUGGUUUGUCGCGUUGUCCGUGAAAACUCACAACUCAAUUGUGGGCGUGCGGGCGAUACGGGCAGACUGGAGUACUGCAGGGGAGACUGGAAUUCCUGGUGUAGCGGUGGAAUGCGCAGAUAUCAGGAGGAACACCAAUAGCGAAGGCAGCUCGCUGGGACGUUACUGACGCUGAGGAGCGAAAGCGUGGGGAGCGAACAGG
RNAcentral lists this ribosomal RNA (253 nucleotides) under uncultured bacterium. RNAcentral's name for it is "partial 16S ribosomal RNA". It matches the Rfam family "Bacterial small subunit ribosomal RNA", at positions 524 to 776 of the family's 1533-position model. The record is from RNAcentral.